CGGGUUGUAAAGCACUUUAGGUGGGGAAGAAGUUACGUAGGUUAAGAGCUGAUGUAAUUGACGGUACUCACAGAAUAAGCACCGGCUAACUCUGUGC
RNAcentral lists this ribosomal RNA (97 nucleotides) under uncultured bacterium. RNAcentral describes it as "partial 16S ribosomal RNA". The record is from RNAcentral.